AAAGCGCGAUUUCUAGGUCUCCUCCUUUCCUCCCAGCCCCGAACACCAGCGGGCCGCCGCCGCCGCACACCCGCGUCGCUCCCUCUCUCCUUCUUCCCGGCGGCGGGGUCGCGGCCUCCUCCCUCCCUCCGGCCGCGGCUCCUCCUCCCUCCCCUCCGGCCGCGGCUCCUCCUCUCCCGGCGCAGGGGCGCGGCCUCCCGGCGCCCCUGUCCUCCCCACCGGCGCCCGCAGCCCUCAGAUCCGGCGGCCGGCAGCGUCGGGGUCGAGGCGAGGGGGCGCGGCCUCCUCUCCCGGCGCGGGGGCUCCUCCCUGCCGGCGGCCGCAGCUCGUCCUCCGCGGCGUCAGCCGCGGGUCCCACGCCCCCCACCUGACACGCCCGCGACCGCGACUCCUGGAGGUCUCCUGUAGCGACCUGGAGGAUUGCGGCGCGUUUACCGUGCUGCGGUGCAGCAGUUGGAUCGGCAAAUGUGGCGUCCAGGCUCUUUCGGAGUACUGCGGUAGACACCUCUGUCGGACCCAAUAUUUGAAGCCAGAUGUGUGGAGAGGUUAAUCACUCCCCUCACCGGCAGUGGAUGCAGCCACACUGCUGCCUGCAAAACAUCUUUAUUGCUUCAACGCAAGGAAGGCUCUAGAAGCAUCUAGUUUGUCUAUGAUUGCUUCUCAUAUAUUUUUAUGCAAGGAAGGCUCUAGAAGCAUUUGGUUUGUCCAUGCAGAUGAUCUUAAUUACCUGGUUAUCAAUUAGCUUAAGCAAAGCUAAUUUCAUGCUUGCCACCCUCACACAACAUCGGGAUGCGUUUUGCACGAGAAGCAACGGCAAGGUAGGCACCUCUGUCGGACCCAAUAUUUGAAGCCAGAUGUGUGGAGAGGUUAAUCACUCCCCUCACCGGCAGUGGAUGCAGCCACACUGCUGCCUGCAAAACAUCUUUAUUGCUUCAACGCAAGGAAGGCUCUAGAAGCAUUUGGUUUGUCCAUGCAGAUGAUCUUAGUUACCUGGUUAUCAAUUAGCUUAAGCAAAGCUAAUCUCAGGCUUGCCACCCUCACACAACAUCGGGAUGCGUUUUGCACGAGAAGCAACGGCAAGGUAGGCACCUCUGUCGGACCCAAUAUUUGAAGCCAGAUGUGUGGAGAGGUUAAUCACUCCCCUCACCGGCAGUGGAUGCAGCCACACUGCUGCCUGCAAAACAUCUUUAUUGCUUCAACGCAAGGAAGGCUCUAGAAGCAUUUGGUUUGUCCAUGCAGAUGAUCUUAGUUACCUGGUUAUCAAUUAGCUUAAGCAAAGCUAAUCUCAGGCUUGCCACCCUCACACAACAUCGGGAUGCGUUUUGCACGAGAAGCAACGGCAAGGUAGGCACCUCUGUCGGACCCAAUAUUUGAAGCCAGAUGUGUGGAGAGGUUAAUCACUCCCCUCACCGGCAGUGGAUGCAGCCACACUGCUGCCUGCAAAACAUCUUUAUUGCUUCAACACAAGGAAGGCUCUAGAAGCAUCUAGUUUGUCUAUGAUUGCUUCUCAUAUAUUUUUAUGCAAGGAAGGCUCUAGAAGCAUUUGGUUUGUCCAUGCAGAUGAUCUUAAUUACCUGGUUAUCAAUUAGCUUAAGCAAAGCUAAUUUCAUGCUUGCCACCCUCACACAACAUCGGGAUGCGUUUUGCACGAGAAGCAACGGCAAGGGAUAAGAUUGUGAAGCACCUGUGCCACCAUCAUCAUCAGCUUAGCAGGGUCACUUUGAUAUUCCAAGGAAGGGCACCUUGCUAGCCUCCCUGAUUGCCCCCUAACAAUGAAGACGCAUGAGCGAGCUGCCAAUUUGGCUCUUGUUGCUUUGAGUUUGGCACCACUUGUGGUUAAUGUAAACCCAAAUGUGAAUGUGAUAUUGACAGCAUGUCUUACUGUCUAUGUUGGUUGUUACCGUUCUGUCAAGCCAACUCCACCCGCUGAGACAAUGUCCAAGGAGCAUGCUAUGCGUUUCCCCUAAGUGGGAAGUGCUAUGCUUUUGUCAUUGUUCCUUCUAUUCAAGUUUCUUUCAAAAGACUUGGUCAAUGCUGUGCUCACUGCUUACUUCUUCAUUCUUGGCAUUGUUGCUCUCUGCAAUUUCUUCCAAAAGAAUGGAAUGAUAAUCUCAUUGUUUGGCGAGCUCCACUUAUCCACUGAGAAGAUAGAUGCUAGAGGACAGAUACAAGGACGGGGUCAUUGCAAAGAAAAAGAGCCAGAGGUGAGUGAGCCUACGACCACCAAUUGCUUAUCCCCAAUUACCAAUUGCAGCAGACUUGGACUAAAGGAAUUGCUUGAAGUGAAGACCAGUGAACAAAAGGCUUUACACAACAGAAUUGUUGACCUCUUUCGUUUCGGGAUAAGGCCUGGAAGAAGCAGGGAUUGAACCAGGGCUUGUUCACAGAGCAAAUAUCAAAAGCCUAUGUUGUAUUCAUAUAACUGCAUGUGUAUGUAACCCAUUUGUUUUUAUCCCUCACUAUUUUUGUGCCUUUUCUGGUCAGAAAUCCCAAGUUGACACACUUGCUGCAAGAUUCUCUAGGAGACUCUAAAGCAUUGAUGUUUGUGCAAAUUAGCCCAUCCGAUAGUGAUGUAUCAGAAACCUUGAGUUCAUUAAACAUCGCCAGCCAUGUUCGGCGUAUUGAGUUGGGACCAGCAAAGAAGCAAGUUGAUACUGUUGAACUUCAAAAGACCAACAGAUGAUGAGUUUUAGUUGUGCAUUUUCCUAAGUUAACUUUCAUGACAACUUGCACACUGUGCUAGCAACCUGCUUGAGGCUAGCUUAAUGAUAUGUAAUUUACAUUUUUCCUGCUGAAUGAAUGUAAGCUUGAAAGAACUAAGCAAGAAGUCAGACUUAAGGAUGACUCUUGAGAAAGCUAGAAGAGAACUUAAAAAAUUUCGAGACCAAAGCCAAAGGGAAAGAGUAACUUUGCAAGAACUUGCAAGAAAAGGUAAAAGAGAGGUCAGUUAGAUUCCAGGGCACAUUCUCAAAUGACAUCAGAGAAACAGCAGCAUCAGCUCUCUGGAAAACUAAAGGAGAAAGAAGAAAUGUGUACUGCCCUUCAGCAGAAGAUCGUGGAGUUAGAGAGCAAACUUAGACAGCCGCACCAAUCAGAAUCUGAGGUUGCAGUUCUCAAGCAAAUGAUCGAAGAGAUGGAGCUCAAGUUGAAGGCGACUCCUAUAAAGAUUAAAACAUUUAUACAUUUUAUAUGAUUGUUGCGGAAUUAAAGGUGCUCCUUGAACGGGACCGAGCAAGGGAUGAGCAAGGGUUUGAACAUACCUCAAUGCUUACGACGGCCACGACGGCCACGACGGCGGGUUGCUGACGCCUCCUUACGCUCCUGACGAUCCCUAGCCUCGCGCUCCCUCGCUUCCCUGGCCUUACUCUCUUCGAUCCGGUGCCUCUCCUCAUGGCCGCGGAUGAAGAUGCGGUCGUACACGCCUUCCUUGAGACGGCAAGGGCGGCACCCCCACCACACCAUCUCGCCGCCGAGCACCCCCACCCCCACCGCGCGCGCUUCUCUCCCCAUUGAUCCCGCCGCCGCCGCCGCCGCUCGCUGAGGAAGGAGUUGAAAGAGGAUUUUCGGGUGGUAUAGAGGGUUUGUUUUAUCAGUAUACUCCUGUUAGGAAAAAGCCCAUGGGCCAGCAAUGAAUUGGGCUUCCAAAUCACUGCGGCCUGCUAACAACGAAUGAAUGCGGCCCACCUCCCCGCCGCCGGCGCCGGCGCCCGCGCGCGGCAGCAGCAGCAACCCCACCAGCAGAGAGAGAGAGAGAGAGAUCUGCGACUGGGCAGUGAUGGUGUCCGACGGGUACGAUCCGAUCUGGAGCGGCCGAUUAAUUAGAACGGAGGGGGGAGGAGGCUUCGCUGAUUAGCGUCGUGAUUGGAUCGUGUCAGCGUGGCACGAGGAUGAGAGGAGAGGAGGUGCUCUGCUCGGCGCAGGGAAUUUUCGGGCCGGGUGUUUCAGGGGUAAAAAUGUCAGACCACCAUGGAGAAGUAGUAGAAAAUUCCACCUAUUAUAUGGAUAAAAAAAUUGUGGCAAGAGCAAAUACGAAUAGGAAUUUUUUUUUUUGGACGAAGUCUAUCAAAUGGGAUGGCUUUUCACGCGCGGGAUUGCGCGACGCCCUCCACGUGCACGAAGAGGUCCAAAAGCAUUUCAAUAUGCGCAAUAUUUGUCGGUGGAUUAGAUUGUAAUUGACCUAAAUUUGAAUAUUUAGACUAUGGAUAAGAGGUGUUAAACUUUA
Molecule: long non-coding RNA, 4222 nt
Organism: Setaria italica (foxtail millet)
Lineage: Eukaryota; Viridiplantae; Streptophyta; Magnoliopsida; Poales; Poaceae
Exons: 15
Source: RefSeq, a predicted model, not a curated record